UAGUUUGAUGGUUCCUUACUUGUAUG
RNAcentral lists this non-coding RNA (26 nucleotides) under Mus musculus (house mouse). Lineage: Eukaryota; Metazoa; Chordata; Mammalia; Rodentia; Muridae. The record is from RNAcentral.